AGUGAACGCUGGCGGUAGGCCUAACACAUGCAAGUCGAACGGCAGCACAGUAAGAGCUUGCUCUUACGGGUGGCGAGUGGCGGACGGGUGAGGAAUACAUCGGAAUCUACUUUUUGGUGGGGGAUAACGUAGGGAAACUUACGCUAAUACCGCAUACGACCUACGGGUGAAAGCAGGGGAUCUUCGGACCUUGCGCGAUUGAAUGAGCCGAUGUCGGAUUAGCUAGUUGGCGGGGUAACGGCCCACCAGGGCGACGAUCGGUAGCUGGUCUGAGAGGAUGAUCAGCCACACUGGAACUGAGACACGGUCCAGACUCCUACGGGAGGCAGCAGUGGGGAAUAUUGGACAAUGGGCGCAAGCCUGAUCCAGCCAUACCGCGUGGGUGAAGAAGGCCUUCGGGUUGUAAAGCCCUUUUGUUGGGAAAGAAAAGCAGCAGGUUAAUACCCCGCUGUUCUGACGGUACCCAAAGAAUAAGCACCGGCUAACUUCGUG
This 492-nucleotide ribosomal RNA is filed under the name uncultured bacterium. Its description in RNAcentral is "partial 16S ribosomal RNA". It matches the Rfam family "Bacterial small subunit ribosomal RNA", at positions 29 to 507 of the family's 1533-position model. The record is from RNAcentral.